AGUGAACGCUGGCGGCAGGCCUAACACAUGCAAGUCGAGCGGCAGCGCGGGGGCAACCCUGGCGGCGAGCGGCGGACGGGUGAGGAAUUCGUAGGUAUCUGCCUUUUUGUGGGGGAUAACGUAGGGAAACUUACGCUAAUACCGCAUACGUCCUACGGGUGAAAGUGGGGGACCGCAAGGCCUAACGCAGAAAGAUGAGCCGACGACAGAUUUGCUAGUUGGUGGGGUAAAGGCCAACCAUGGCGACGAUCGGUAGCUGGUCUGCGAGGUGGACCAGCAACAUGGAGACGGAGACACGGCCCAGACUCCAAGGGGGGGCAGAAGUGGGGAUUAUUGGACAAGGGGGGCAAGCCUAAUCCAGCCAUGCCGCGGGGGUGAAGAAGUCCUUCGGGUUGUAAAGCACUUUUGUCCGGAAAGAAAUCCCUGGAGCUAAUACCUUCGGGGGAUGACGGUACCGGAAGAAUAAGCACCGGCUAACUUCGU
Molecule: ribosomal RNA, 483 nt
Filed under: uncultured bacterium
Lineage: Bacteria
Description: partial 16S ribosomal RNA
Rfam family: Bacterial small subunit ribosomal RNA
Source: RNAcentral